AGUGAACGCUGGCGGUAGGCCUAACACAUGCAAGUCGAACGGCAGCACAGUAAGAGCUUGCUCUUACGGGUGGCGAGUGGCGGACGGGUGAGGAAUACAUCGGAAUCUACUUUUUCGUGGGGGAUAACGUAGGGAAACUUACGCUAAUACCGCAUACGACCUACGGGUGAAAGCAGGGGAUCUUCGUACCUUGCGCGAUUGAAUGAGCCGAUGUCGGAUUAGCUAGUUGGCGGGGUAAAGGCCCACCAAGGCGACGAUCCGUAGCUGGUCUGAGAGGAUGAUCAGCCACACUGGAACUGAGACACGGUCCAGACUCCUACGGGAGGCAGCAGUGGGGAAUAUUGGACAAUGGGCGCAAGCCUGAUCCAGCCAUACCGCGUGGGUGAAGAAGGCCUUCGGGUUGUAAAGCCCUUUUGUUGGGAAAGAAAAGCAGCAGGUUAAUACCCCGCUGUCCUGACGGUACCCAAAGAAUAAGCACCGGCUAACUUCGUG
This 492-nucleotide ribosomal RNA is filed under the name uncultured bacterium. RNAcentral describes it as "partial 16S ribosomal RNA". It matches the Rfam family "Bacterial small subunit ribosomal RNA", at positions 29 to 507 of the family's 1533-position model. The record is from RNAcentral.